UCCAGCGAAUGCCGGCAGUCUCAUCAGACAAAUCUAACUGAUGAUAAGGGUUUCGCUCGUUUACUCACUUAAGAGCACAGCUCACGCCACGAGCUGACGACAGCCGUGCAACACCUGUCUUCUCGUUCCCUUGCGGGCACGGUCCUAUUUCUAGGACUUUCGAGAGAUGUCAAACCCUGGUAAGGUUCUCCGGUUAUCGUCGAAUUAAACCACACGCUCCACCGCUUGUGCGAUCCCCCGUCAAUUCCUUUGAGUUUUAGCCUUGCGGCCGUACUCCCCAGGCGGCACACUUAACGCGUUAGCUUCGCUACAAGAAGGGUCGAUGCUUCUGAUAGCUAGUGUGCAUCGUUUACGGCGUGGACUAC
This 365-nucleotide unclassified non-coding RNA is filed under the name uncultured bacterium. RNAcentral's name for it is "contains 16S-23S intergenic spacer region". The record is from RNAcentral.